This is a non-coding RNA of Oryctolagus cuniculus (rabbit), 873 nucleotides long. The record is from the annotation of a RefSeq genome assembly. Lineage: Eukaryota; Metazoa; Chordata; Mammalia; Lagomorpha; Leporidae.
UGGGGGCAUAGCACCAUGGCCUGGGCUCUGCUCCUCCUCACCCUCCUCACUCAGGACACAGGGUCCUGGGCCCAGCCUGCCCUCACUCAGCCGUCCUCGGUGUCUGGGGCUCUGGGCGGCUCAGUCACCAUCACCUGUGCUGGAAGCAACAGUGACAUUGGGUACAACAGCCUCAUCUCCUGGUACCAACAGCUCCCAGGUUCAGUCCCCAAACUCCUGAUGUUUAGAGUUGAUAGGCUUGCCUCAGGGAUCCCUGAGCGCUUCUCUGGCUCCAAGUCUGGCACUACGGCCUCCCUGACCAUCUCAGGGCUGCAGCCUGAGGACAAGGCUGACUAUUACUGUGUCUCUUAUACAAGCAGUCGCACUGUUGUGUUCGGCGGAGGGACCCAGCUGACCGUCACAGGUCAGCCCGCGGUGACCCCCUCGGUCAUUUUGUUCCCGCCCUCCUCUGAGGAACUCAAGGACAACAAGGCCACCUUGGUGUGUCUGAUCAAUGACUUCUACCCGGGCACCGUGAAGGUGAACUGGAAGGCCGAUGGUACUCCCGUCACCCAGGGCGUGGACACCACCCAGCCCUCCAAACAGAGCAACAGCAAGUAUGCGGCCAGCAGCUUCCUCAGCCUGUCAGCCAAUCAAUGGAAAUCCUACCAGAGUGUCACCUGCCAGGUCACGCAUGAGGGCCACACGGUGGAGAAGAGCCUGGCCCCUGCAGAAUGCUCCUAGGGCCCCACCCUCACCCACCCCCAGGGGCCAGGAGCUGCAGACCCCAGAAGACCCCAAGGGUCUCACCUUGUCCCCCACCCAUUCAUCAUCCCACCCUUCCCUUGUACCCAAUAAACUCUCAAUAAAUAUCCUCACUUUUUCAAUCAGAAA